Molecule: ribosomal RNA, 585 nt
Filed under: uncultured bacterium
Lineage: Bacteria
Description: partial 16S ribosomal RNA
Rfam family: Bacterial small subunit ribosomal RNA
Source: RNAcentral
UGGGGAAUUUUGGACAAUGGGCGAAAGCCUGAUCCAGCAAUGCCGCGUGUGUGAAGAAGGCCUUCGGGUUGUAAAGCACUUUUGUCCGGAAAGAAAUCCUUGGCUCUAAUACAGCCGGGGGAUGACGGUACCGGAAGAAUAAGCACCGGCUAACUACGUGCCAGCAGCCGCGGUAAUACGUAGGGUGCAAGCGUUAAUCGGAAUUACUGGGCGUAAAGCGUGCGCAGGCGGUUUGCUAAGACCGAUGUGAAAUCCCCGGGCUCAACCUGGGAACUGCAUUGGUGACUGGCAGGCUAGAGUAUGGCAGAGGGGGGUAGAAUUCCACGUGUAGCAGUGAAAUGCGUAGAGAUGUGGAGGAAUACCGAUGGCGAAGGCAGCCCCCUGGGCCAAUACUGACGCUCAUGCACGAAAGCGUGGGGAGCAAACAGGAUUAGAUACCCUGGUAGUCCACGCCCUAAACGAUGUCAACUAGUUGUUGGGGAUUCAUUUCCUUAGUAACGUAGCUAACGCGUGAAGUUGACCGCCUGGGGAGUACGGUCGCAAGAUUAAAACUUAAAUGAAUUGACGGGGUCAUAGCUGUUUCCU